UUACUCGAAUAGCAAUACACCAGAGUUUCCUUAACGUAUUGCGAAGAAGAGUGUACUGCACGCAGCGCUAGACAAAGCACCGAAUAGCAAAUGGAUUGUUAGUUUCCUGGCUGACGACUUAAGAGCGAGUCGCGAGCGACUAGAUUGCCGUGCGGCAUAAUACCGAAGCAAGGAAUAAAAUUUCUUUUUCAAUUACGAGCCGCGAAACUCUCUGUCCGGCCAUUAUCACCGCGCGUGAUACCUCGUUAAAACGUAUCCGGAAGGUCAAUCGUUUUAUAAUGCAAAGGGAAAGAGAGGGACGAGAGAGAGAGAGAGAGAGAGAGAGAGAGAAAGGAAGAAAGCAGGGGAUUGGAGAUGUAUCGCGGUUAGGGUCGAUGUAUGCAUUCUACACGUGGCUGUCUCUGGUCGUAGCUGCGCGUGCACCAAUGUUUCGGUGCACCGCGUAUCCUAUACGCCGUGAUUUCAUUUUAUUCGACGCGUAUGUAUAUGCAGGGAAAAAGAAAGGAAGAGAAAAGGUGCGAUAGAAACGCGCGACUCGACCGUGUUGUGUGCUGCUACACACGCACGGUCUCGCGUGCGCGCGCACGCAUACAUUCGCGCACACGCGCACUGGUAGCAUCACUUCACUGAUGAUAUACCCUACCGAGAGUUCAUUGCUCUUGAGGUGCAACGGAGAACGACGAGGAUUCGCGCGAGAACGUCGAAAAGAGAAGGAGAAACGAAGAGGGAGACGCGAACUGGCAUUGGCACGAUGGAGAGAGACAAAAACGGAGACGCACAGCACGGAAGACGAAAGGGAACGAGCGAAAGAGACUAACCGAUGGUACGAACAAGACACUGUCAAGGAGCUCUGAAAAGUCGAAGGAAGGGCGGAGAAAGACGGAUCGAGAAGAAAACUGGAUUAUAUCAAAGGAUAAACGACGAGUAUACAGGCGUGUAAAAAAUCCGGAAACGUAUCGAAAAGGUGAACGCCAUACGAAGACAAGAAACGAGUAUCUGGUUGCAUGAAUAUUAAUAAAGCACGUUAACUCGACACACGACUCUGUCGUGCUUAUAUUACACUCGGAAGUAGCCGGCAAUUAUUCAAAACCAAUGACCACGUUGAAGAGAUCCUUCUGAGUAGCCGGCCAUUUGUAUGAGAGUUCGACGUUUUGAACGAUCAAGCGCGUGAAAUAAAAAAUGCAAUUUUUUUCAGACACCUGACAACUUUUAAACUCUGUCUUCCAAGAGAUGUUUUAGACGCUAGAACGUUUUUCAAGAAUAAUCAUUUGUCUAAAAUGUGUUGUAAUUAUGUAAGCUUGGAACUGUUAUAUUAUUAUAAUAUAUGGAUUUAAGAGU
Bombus pascuorum is the source of this 1338-nucleotide long non-coding RNA. RefSeq lists it as uncharacterized. The record is from RefSeq and is a predicted model, not a curated record. NCBI's taxonomy places the organism in Eukaryota, Metazoa, Arthropoda, Insecta, Hymenoptera, Apidae. The transcript is spliced from 2 exons.